This 465-nucleotide ribosomal RNA is filed under the name Mycobacterium sp. Its description in RNAcentral is "bacterial SSU rRNA". It matches the Rfam family "Bacterial small subunit ribosomal RNA", at positions 89 to 556 of the family's 1533-position model. Lineage: Bacteria; Bacillati; Actinomycetota; Actinomycetes; Mycobacteriales; Mycobacteriaceae. The record is from RNAcentral.
ACUCGAGUGGCGAACGGGUGAGUAACACGUGGGCAAUCUGCCCUGCACUUCGGGAUAAGCCUGGGAAACUGGGUCUAAUACCGGAUAGGACCUUUAGGCGCAUGUCUUUAGGUGGAAAGCUUUUGCGGUGUGGGAUGGGCCCGCGGCCUAUCAGCUUGUUGGUGGGGUGAUGGCCUACCAAGGCGACGACGGGUAGCCGGCCUGAGAGGGUGUCCGGCCACACUGGGACUGAGAUACGGCCCAGACUCCUACGGGAGGCAGCAGUGGGGAAUAUUGCACAAUGGGCGCAAGCCUGAUGCAGCGACGCCGCGUGGGGGAUGACGGCCUUCGGGUUGUAAACCUCUUUCACCAUCGACGAAGGUCCGGGUUUUCUCGGAUUGACGGUAGGUGGAGAAGAAGCACCGGCCAACUACGUGCCAGCAGCCGCGGUAAUACGUAGGGUGCGAGCGUUGUCCGGAAUUACUG